Molecule: ribosomal RNA, 436 nt
Filed under: uncultured bacterium
Lineage: Bacteria
Description: partial 16S ribosomal RNA
Rfam family: Bacterial small subunit ribosomal RNA
Source: RNAcentral
UGGGAAUAUUGCGCAAUGGGCGGAAGCCUGACGCAGCAACGCCGCGUGCGGGAUGACGGCCUUCGGGUUGUAAACCGCUUUCAGCAGGGACGAAGCGUGAGUGACGGUACCUGCAGAAGAAGCACCGGCCAACUACGUGCCAGCAGCCGCGGUGAUACGUAGGGUGCGAGCGUUGUCCGGAAUUAUUGGGCGUAAAGAGCUCGUAGGUGGUUGAUCGCGUCGAAAGUGAAAUCUCAGGGCUUAACCCUGAGCGUGCUUUCGAUACGGGUCGACUAGAGGAAGGUAGGGGAGAAUGGAAUUCCUGGUGGAGCGGUGGAAUGCGCAGAUAUCAGGAGGAGCACCAGUGGCGAAAGGCGGUUCUCUGGACCUUUCCUGACGCUGAGGAGCGAAAGCGUGGGGAGCAAACAGGCUUAGAUACCCUGGUAGUCCACGCCGU